Molecule: long non-coding RNA, 1318 nt
Filed under: Cavia porcellus (domestic guinea pig)
Lineage: Eukaryota; Metazoa; Chordata; Mammalia; Rodentia; Caviidae
Description: lncRNA (ENSCPOG00000032442.1)
Source: RNAcentral
AAUAGAAUCUGCCUGCCAAUGCCUGCAACAUUUUUGGGGUAUUACAUAUUACACUGUCUGUGCUUCUGGGAAAAAUGGACCCCACCCUUCCUCGUCGUCGUGGGCUGCAGCUCAGAUCUCCGGUUCUUUUUAUGGUCAAGCUUUUAGAUCUAGGCUCCCCCACCCACAGCUACCUGUAAUGGGAAACAAGACUCAUUAAGGCCGCGCCAGAUGUUAUAGGGAAGGCCGGUGACAAGGGCUGUAAAAGAAUUCACCAACAGGCAGGACCCAGGAAAGUCAGGAGUUUAUUUAGAUGGCUGGGUGUGCUGUGGACAGAGGCACGGCGGGCAAGUUCCAAGAGAGGAUUGCGCAGCCAGGGCGCGAGGUGUGUUUUUCUCUUUAACAGUGACAAGGUUUAUUUGAGAAAAUAAAAAUGAAGAAUGGAGGAGAAACUCGAUCUGUAGUGAGCUUGUGAGAGGGGGGAAGAAAUUCCCAACCGGCUAGGGAUGAGUUUUGGGAACAUCAGAGGCUAAGAGCAGGGAGGAUUUACUGAAAGAAAACUUCUUAGAAGGACAGAAGCGGCCAGCAAGUGAGUUGCCCCGUUGAAAGCAAAUCUGUCUGCACCUCCGGUGUCUAGACAAGGUCGCUGCUUCUCAGGAGUGUGGUGGGGCCCCAUGAGAGGUGUGUGCAGCUCAGGGAACUGAGGCAGGUGACUGGGCCUUGUCCUGGGAUAAUACAGACAGCUCCUCUCUUGUCUCUGUGGAACCACCAAGGCAUGACGUUUUGUGGAAGAUUAGAUUUCUUCCUGUUCGGAUCUUACACUGUCCUUAAAGUUCUGGUAAGCAGCCUCCUACGCUGAUUGCAGUGAUGGGCAGUCCUUUCUCCCACCAGGAGAGGAGCCCCGCCUGACCGCAGCUGUCUGCAUUUUGACUGUUGUCUUCAUUUCUUCAUCCUCCACCGUCCUCCCUCCAGAAUUUCCAGGCUUCAGCCCUCAGCAGUGCGAUCUCUGGAAUGUAGGAUUAUUUAUGAAGAUUCGUGUUUUUGACACGAAGACCACCACAGGAACAGAGGCCAAACAAACUCUUGGACCCCUUGUGACUCAUUGAAAGCAGGAGUUGUGUUUUCUUCCGAAGCAAUCAAGGACUCAAAGCUUGGUUUUGCAACAAAACAAAACAACAACAAAGAAGGACGCUUCAUUUAGGCCGGUGGAUGUCCAAAAAGUAACUGAAAGCGGAACAAAGCUUGGCCUUCAUUUCGCACCUGCAGCACUUGGGUCAGACCCUUGUUCAUCUCUGAAUGCAGGUAUGUUAGCUGUUUAGGGAGCGUCUGUCUAGAGCGU